AAACCAGCACCUCAAGUGGUCAGGAUGAUUAUUGGGCCUAAAGCAUCCGUAGCCGGCUCUGUAAGUUUUCGGUUAAAUCUGUACGCUUAACGUACAGGCCGCCGGGAAUACUGCAGAGCUAGGGAGUGGGAGAGGUAGACGGUACUCGGGAGGAGGUGGUAAAAUGCUUUGAUCUCUCGAUGACCACCUGUGGCGAAGGCGGUCUACCAGAACACGUCCGACGGUGAGGGAUGAAAGCUGGGGGAGCAAACCGGAUUAGAUACCCCAGUAGUCC
Molecule: ribosomal RNA, 274 nt
Filed under: uncultured bacterium
Lineage: Bacteria
Description: partial 16S ribosomal RNA
Rfam family: Archaeal small subunit ribosomal RNA
Source: RNAcentral